GCCCGGAUAGCCUAGUUGGUUGGGGCGCCAGACUCAUAGGGUAAACGAUUGGGUGCUCCCAUGUCUCCUGAGACAUCUGGAGGCCGCGUGUUCGAGUCACGCUCCGGGCA
This 110-nucleotide transfer RNA is filed under the name Methanohalophilus euhalobius. RNAcentral describes it as "tRNA_Met_CAT". It matches the Rfam family "tRNA". Rfam says of the family: Transfer RNA (tRNA) molecules are approximately 80 nucleotides in length. Lineage: Archaea; Methanobacteriati; Methanobacteriota; Methanomicrobia; Methanosarcinales; Methanosarcinaceae. The record is from RNAcentral. RNAcentral also lists the same sequence under 1 other name.